Molecule: transfer RNA, 69 nt
Filed under: Glyptotermes sp. A TB-2014
Lineage: Eukaryota; Metazoa; Arthropoda; Insecta; Blattodea; Kalotermitidae
Description: tRNA-Asn
Source: RNAcentral
UUAGGUGAAACCAAAAAGAGGUAUGUCACUGUUAAUGGCAAAAAUGAAUAAUAACUAAUUCCACCUAAA